Bombus terrestris (buff-tailed bumblebee) is the source of this 717-nucleotide long non-coding RNA. RefSeq lists it as uncharacterized. The transcript has 2 exons. Lineage: Eukaryota; Metazoa; Arthropoda; Insecta; Hymenoptera; Apidae. The record is from RefSeq and is a predicted model, not a curated record.
AUUUAUGUCCUGAAAGCCUGGGCGCAAAAACAGGACAGUUCGCUAGCCUAUUAGCGGAGCGAUGGGAGGGGAUUGACUGGGAGGGGAAGGGUAUACCACAUAGACUGUUUACGAGAGACCGACAAAACAUAAGCAAGGUCACGACGCAGGCUAAGCGUCGACAGGUCUAAUGAGCCAUCGAUAUUCCUACGGUCCUUUCGCCAAACACUCGAAAGAAGGAGUGCGUGACCACGGUCGCGAAAGUCUAACGAACGCGUGCGUAGUGGGGAUAUUGAGAGGUGAUAAAAAGAAACGAAAUGGAUUGAGAGAUGAGUGGUGACCAAGAAGUGUGAUUGCAGUCGAAAUCGAGAAACAUAUUACGAAGUUAUUGUGACAUCCGAGACCAUCGCACCGCUUCAGAGACCACGUCACACACCGCGGGCAAGAUGGAUGCCAGAUGUCUACACAUCCUUACUGGGUACCUUCGAUAGGCUUAGGGACCGACCAUAAAUCUGGCCAUUUUCAUAGUUAUGGUCCUUCAGACCAAGCAAGGAUCUUUCCUUUCAAGUGUCCUUUACAUUUAUUGUUUACCAAUGCUAGAUACGGGAAACUUGGUUUUUCUGACGUUCUGUACCUUCCUUUACCAACUUUCUCUUGUCCCUUAAAUUUAAGGCUUACGUUUUAAAGACAAGAAGGUUGAGCCGUAACGGAACUUUAUGUUUCUUUUCUAUGGAACUU